CAUGCCUCCAUAAAUAUAGCAAAAUCUUACUAUAUUCAAGCCUGAAACUGUAGCUCUGCAUGCUGUUAGACUCAGAAAAACUAACAGUCUGCUGACAUCAUCAGAAGUGGUAACCUGAUCCAAUCACAAUGCUUCCCCAUAGGAUUGGCUGAGACUGAAAAGGAGGCAGAUCAGGGGCAGAGCCAGCACAAUUCAAACACAGCCCUGGCCAAUCGGCAUCUCCUCAUAGAGAUGAAUUGAAUCAAUGAAUCUCUAUGAGGAAAGUUAAGUGUCUGCAUGCAGAGGGAGGAGAUACUGAAUGUUUGGAUGCAUUUUAGGCAGCCAUGACCCAGGAAGGAUCUCUAACAGCCAUCUGAGGAGUGGCCAGUGAAGUUAUCCCUAGGC
Pelobates cultripes (western spadefoot toad) is the source of this 384-nucleotide non-coding RNA. Lineage: Eukaryota; Metazoa; Chordata; Amphibia; Anura; Pelobatidae. The record is from the annotation of a GenBank genome assembly.